UGUACUGGGGCAUAUAAAGUUUGCAAGUCCAAUGGGCCUCUCUUUGAGUUUGAGGCCAACAUGGUCUAAAGAGAGCAAGUUCUAGGAUAGCCAAGACUACACAGAUAAUCCCAGUCUUGAUAAAAGAUAAAGUUUAGUUGUUGCUAUUUCUAAUUUUCUGAAUUCUUAUGAGCCUAGCAUUCCACUCUCUAACUUACCUCAUUAGACACACAUAAUUCAUACAGAACUACAUUCAUUACGUCCAAUAAACAUGCCUCACUCAGCCUUUUAUUAUGUAUAUAUCUGAUCAUUAUUUCUUUUCAGACAUUAAUUUAAUAUAUUGUGUACAUAGAAAUAAGGCUCAAUGGGCUUUUGUUGAAUAGACAAAUGAAUAGUGGCUUUCUACCUCUUCCUCAAAGCAAAUGAUGAAUUUGGUACCAUUUUCUCAAAUCUUUAGGAAGCUCAGCUAGCGUGAUGUCAUGUCUUUCCAGAAUUAGUCGUGCUUAUAUUAUGUUGAAUUAACUUUUGCUACAAAAGAGAAGGCCAAGUCUGCAGUGUGUCUAGUAACAGGUUCUAGCAUCACUUUAAAGAGUAAAUGCAAACUCUCCUAGACUACAUUACUAGCUGCAGCAUGCACUGGCAAGGCUCUCACACUUGGUGCAUGUCUCCAGUGAGAACCCAAUCACACACAGUAAUUUAGAGAAUUGUGUGGAGUCCGUAUAUCAUUUCUACGAUCUUCUUAAAUGAAAAACUGUAUUGUUGCUGUGAAAGCACUGCUUAUGGAUAAUGCAUCCUUUUUUCUUACUCCACUGAGGCAUGAAGUAACUUCUAGUGAAAAUCAAAUCAAAACAAAACAAAACAAAACAAAAAAUCAACUUUAGUUGGUCAUGUUGUAGUUCAAGAAUAAACACAUCUCAGCUUCUAUUGGUUCUCUCUAUCCCUGUACCAGGCUGGCCUUGAACUUGGGAUAUCGCCUGCCUUUGCCUCCCAAAGGUGUACACCACCACUAACUGGCUAAGCUAAAAGAUCUUAUUUUUAUCUGGAAUAAGUCUAAAAUUCAUUAGUAUUGCUACUUAUAAUUUAACAAACAAACACAAUUGUUCAUCCAGACUUUAUAAGUUAUCCUUGGAAACAAACAUUGUUCCUUCCAUCCAUUUAGGUACUUGCCAAAAGUAGCCUAGUCUGCACCCAGAAGCAUAUGUAUAUUAUAUUUAAAUUGGGUUUUUGUGGGACUUAACAUAUGGCUAUGUUGCGGUCCUACACUAGUGUCACAGUCAUUAAUAUUCUGUUAUUGCAGUGAAAAUAUUUUUUAAAUUAGACAUUUUGUUUUAACUUAAUUAUUUUUUUUUUAAAAAGAGACUCAAUUUUCAUGGUUUGGAAUAACCACACUUACAAAACUUUGUCUGUUUUGCAAACAGUGGGAUUCCACCUGUAUUGAAUUUGUCAACAUAAUCACCAAAAAAGUAUCAAUUUGCAUGCAUGGACACUCCAGUUAAAAAGCUGGUCCUUUGGCACUGGACCUACUGCAGUGCCGAGGUGGAAAGCAAAACUGUAGAAGUAAAUUUUAUGCAUGGUAUGUGUGGAUAUGAGGAUUUCAAUUAGCAUUAAUAGAAGCUGCUCAGCUUCUUCCACAAAAACAGCUUUAGCUGGGUGUUUUUCAGGGUAAAUUACACUACCGUUUGUUUUUUCAAGGCAGCUGCCUGUAGUGAAUGCUUACUGCCAUUGCUGUGGGCCUUCUUGUGUCAGUAUACAGAAAUCUCAAUUUAAAGGAAAUAUUUUAUGGCCAGAAAUUUAGGAAGGAAGAAAAGGUGGGAUGAGGAAGAGGAAAAUGUAGACCAAAAUUGUAGUUCCUGUUUGCUGGUAUACAGCUGAGGUGGUUUUUCUCUCAUUUAAGCUGUGUCCUGUUAGACAAAAAAAAAAAAAAAAAAAAAAAUGGACUCUCAAAUUUUCCCCUGUAUGUAAUUAUUCUACAUCUCACAAAAUUUACUUUGGGAAGAUACAAAGCAAAUAUACCUCUCUAAAAUUAUAUAUAUAUAUAUAUAUAUAUAUAUAUAUACACAUACAUAUAUAUACACAUAUAUAUAUACAUAUAUAUACAUAUAUGUGUGUGUGUGUACAUAUAUAUGUACUCAGCUAUUCUUACCCAUAAGCAGCUUUGGCCUUUGUACCUGAGCAUGAGACUCUAAGGACCUGGGCUUGAAUUCUACACUGACACCUUAGCUGAAUAUGCAUAAUUUCAGUCCUGACUUUGGCAACAUUAGAAGAGGAAAAAUCAUGCUUAUUGUAGAAUAUUGUUAAACUUUAAUUAGACAAUACAUUUAUUAGAUACAUUAGCAAGCUUAACUUUUUUGCUACAUGCCAGUUAUUAUCCAUAAUUUAUAUUGACAGAUGUAAAUAUUUGUAGCUGACACUACCUUUUCAAACAUCUUUAUAAUAAUCUCUUCAAAUAUAUCUUUCUUUGUGUUAAGCUUUCUUUGUAUCAGCCACCGUUUAUAGUUUUGCUGCAGUAACUUUGCAUAACACAGAUUUGAACUCUACAACUUGUACCUGGUCUUCCACCAUGAAAUAGCUUCUCUGGCGCGUUUAUUUUAUGAAACAUGUUUAGGAGUAGUAGAGAGUCAACCUUUGCUCCUCAGAGCUAGUCUAAGAAGUGCUUUGGGAACCAUUUUGUUCUAAUCCCUUCCUCAUCUCCUGGCAGUAAAUUAAUUCCCAAGAGUUUAAUUCCCAGAGUAUAAAGAGUCUCCCAGUUUGGUUCCAUGACAGACAAGUAUGUUUGCUUUCUUUCUUAAAGGAAACCUUGGUGAAACAUUGUUCUCACCAACAUGUGUGUGAAGAAAAUAGUUUUAAAUUAAAUCCUACAAAAACUUAAUUCAAGGGUUUAUUUUUAGACUGUAAGUGACAUUUGUCUUGGGGAGACAUUUAAGACUUAUUCUUCUUAGAAAAGCUUAGAGGUUUAAUAUUUGUUUUUUGGGUUUUUUUUUUCAUUUUUCUCAGAAAACAUUAGUUUCAGAACGUUAGCCUCUCAUCAUUUAUUAGGCAUUUAUCAAAUACAAAACUGUCACUCUUGGUGUGGUUUUUCAGCAUGAAAUUACUGUGAAAAUAAAUAGAAAGUCACACUGAUGCUGCUAUUUAGUAUUCCUGUUUGGCAUUCAAUUACAUCUGC
RNAcentral lists this long non-coding RNA (3142 nucleotides) under Mus musculus (house mouse). Its description in RNAcentral is "long non-coding RNA chr5:81514027-81517169". Lineage: Eukaryota; Metazoa; Chordata; Mammalia; Rodentia; Muridae. The record is from RNAcentral.